Microcebus murinus (gray mouse lemur) is the source of this 4300-nucleotide non-coding RNA. NCBI's taxonomy places the organism in Eukaryota, Metazoa, Chordata, Mammalia, Primates, Cheirogaleidae. The record is from RefSeq and is a predicted model, not a curated record.
CUCUGCUCCAGCGACCGCCUGCUUCCUGUGGGAGCUGCUUGGCCAGCCUGUCCCAGGGUGAGGACAACAAGCAAAGGCCCAGCCAACCCACAACACACAUAAAGCACAAGCAAGAAAUAAACCUCUGUGUGCUUUAAGCCACUGAGGAUGAAGGCUGCAACCCCGCUUCCUGACAGGGUAGGGGCUCAGUAAAAUCUGUGGUUGACCGCGCCCGCUCUCCUCACAGAGCUCUCACAGCACGCGGAGUUCUGAGGGACCUGUUCACUCACAAUGCGCCCUGUUCUAGUUUAGAACAAUUCUCAGGUCCUUCCUAGUACCAAGUCAAAAGCCAUGUUCUUAAAGAAAGUAAAUGGCAGGACAGGGAGCAGGCAGAACUUUAAAAAAAAAAAAAAAUCAGCUUCACUCCCUUCCUUCCACGUCUGCCUCAAGCAGUCCUGAAGAAUUCUUUGAUCAAAGGCAAGCGAGCGACUUAGAAGUUAUGCUGGGAGGAGUGAUCAAUAUGGCUUGUCUUGUAGAUGGUUUUACUCAAAAGCCUCUAAAGAAGCUUAUAGCUCCUUCCAGAAAAGCACAGGGCCUCAAGGAUAUAAUCGCCCCAUCAGUAUGGACCCUAGACGUGAAGAGCCCAGCAGGAGAAGGCAGAAGGGAUCAGUGCGCGGAGGGGUGCUAAGCCAAGAGGCCACUCUCUCCAUCCUUCAGGACGGGGGAUUCCACAACAUGCAGACAAAUUCUCUGGUACGCCACUUUCCAAGAGGUGAACCUCAAUAACCCUCCCCUCGCAUGUGGGCUAUACUUAGUGGCUCGCUUAUAAGGAACAGAACACAGCAUAAAUGAUGACAUGUGACUUCUGAGGCUUGAAAAGGUAUUGUGGCUUCCUCUGUGUAUUUUCUCUCUCUGAUGCCUCAUCUGGGAGAAGCUGUUGCCAUGUCAUGGGGACACUCAGAGCCCAAUGGGGAGGGCCACAUGCUGAGGAACUGAGGCUUCCUGAUUACAGGCAGCACCAACGUGCCAGCAAUGAGAGGGAGUCAUCUCGGAAGUGGACCCCUCUGGUCCCAGUCAAGCCAUCAGAUGACUGCAGCCCUGGCUGCACCUUCCUGAAUUACUUGGAGCCAGAACUACCUGGCUAAGCUGUUUUUGAUUUUUUUUUUCAUAGAAACAGGGGUCUUCCUAUGUUGUCCUAUGGGCUCAAGUGACCCUCCCACCUCAGUCUCAAGCAAGUAUUUGGGACUACAGGGGCAUGCCACUGUGCCCUGGGAGAUAAUUUCUUACCCAGCAAAAGGCAAGAAGGAACCACUUUUUGGUGGAAAGUGAAAGUCAGGGCAGAUUUGCCUGGCAGCUCUGGACAAAGUUGCCUUGGAAGUGGACUUGAGCUGGAAGCCCCAGCCAUGGUGGUUGAAGCAUAAAAACACAGGCAUAAUGAAGGGAAAACCUGGAUUAUGGUGGUGAGGAAAGGCCAGUGGGAGAUGGUAGGGAACUGCAGCACCUUCCAAUGGGAACAGAAAAACGAUGCUCACAUCUUCAAACAGAAGUGGGUCUUCAGAAACCAGAAUACCAAAGGACACAAUACCAAAGGAAAGACGGAGCUGGGGGAAGAGACAGAGCUAGCUGAUUGACCCACGACACCAACUGGGCUGGUCCCGGCAGACCUACUUCUUUUCCUAACAGAGCAAGAAUGGACCAUGACUCACCACCUAAAUGGAAAGGGGCAAUCUCUAUCCCCAUGCCCCCACGCGGCCAGCUGCUGGGCCACCUGCAGAUGGAGGAUGCAUCGUUCAGUGCUUCAUUCAGUGAAUCAAAUGUUAACUACCUACCACCUACCAGGCACCACAGAAAUGAGCAGAUAUAACCUCACCAAGCAAUAACAUGAGGCUGUUAAAGGCAGAAAAAUGGAUAAGGUUGUCAUCUCACUGGAUGUUCUUGAACCUGGAAUCAAGUAAACUCCCAAGAAAGUAAGUGAAAGCUUCUGGAAAGACAGGACCACAAAGAAACUAGAGGAGGAAGCAUCCUAUCUACCGGGGGAUAACUUAAAGACGACUGUGCAGGUAUUUUCUACACAGUGGGUCAUGAUCCAUCAGUGGAAUCAAUUUAGCAAGUCAAUGCCAGCAUUUUAAAGAAAUUGAAAAUAGAAAACAUCAGAGUGUACUACACAUAGUAAGGUGUAAAACUGUUUUAUGAAACUGUUUUAGCAACAUAUUCUAUAAUCAGUUAUGUGUGUAUUGGUAGCAUGUCUACCAGGUUGUGAUAUAAAAUGUAUAUUUUACUAUAGGUUAAAAAGUUAUUUGACUGUUUUCACCUUUACUCCUCACAUGCAGCCACCAAGUUCUCCUGAGUUUACUUCCCAAAUCUAUUCUAGCCCCUAAUCCCGCUCCCUGUGCAUACUACUCCCUAAAUAAGCUCAACAUCUUUCACCAGAACGAUUAGAACAGUCUCCAGACCAGUCUCCCCUGUACUGCAUAGUCCCCUUAAAUCAGCCUCUAACCCCUACACCACUGAAUGAUCUAUUGGAAAUGCAGAUCUGACCUCGUCAAUCCCCAGCUUAAAAGCCUGCAGUGCUUAUAGAAUCAAAUCAAAGCUCCCUUAGCACGGAGCAUCAUGCUAAGACCUCCUUAGCAUCAGGUGCUAUACAAACCGACCCCAAACCCCUUCCAAAUUCACCUCCUCCAACUCCUCAAUCACUGCUCAACAGGAAGACCCAUGGGGCUUUCUCUGGUCAUCUCCUUGCCUCUGCUCUUGCUCUUCCUUAGAGAUCCUGCUCGGGAAUCUUUUCCUUCAAAGAAUCUUCCUGGAACCUUGGAACAUGGCUGAGUGAAUCUACUCUGGGCUCCAGUAUACCUUGUAUCUACAUCUGUCUGGUAUCUUACACCCCAGGAAAAUUACAUUACCUGUAUGCCUGCCUCUUCCACUAAGCAAGGUUUUUAUCUACUUCCUCCAAGUUUUUACUCAAAUGUCUUCUCAAUGAGACCAUCCCUGCCUUCCCAGACUGCCUUAUCUAGAUUUUCAACUUAUCACUGCCUCCCUACCCCCCGCCCCUCCUACCUCCCCCUCUACUGGUUUCUUUUUUCUCCUUAUCACUUAUCAUUGUCUAUUUUAUGUGUGUAUACAUAUACACACACACACAAAAUGUUAGUGUAUGUACAUAUGUUUUUAACUUAUUAUCUACUAUUUCCACAACCAGGAAUGUCAGCUCAAUUAUUUGUCUGUUUUAUUACUGCUAUAUAAGAGGCACUCAAAAAAUACUUGCUUAAUGAGCAAAUACCAUCAAGAUCAGAGAUUGCAAUGAAUUCAACUUUGAGUCUACAGCAUGUAUCAUAGUGUCUCCUGCAGAGUUAGUACACAGUAAAUAUUUGCAUUUUAAAAGUGAAAAUAAAAACUCACAUACAACAUAUUCCACUUUUUGCCUCAUACUCUUCUCCAUUUGACAGACACAGAACAGAAAGAAUUAUGGCUGGACAGACCAGUCAGCUGACCAAAAGAAAGCAGAAAUUUUAGAAUAUCAUCAUACCUGAAUUAUGGGCAGGCCAUUGAAGAAAUUUUUAGGCAUCUUUUGUCUUUUGGAAAUGAAUAGUAUUUUAAAAAGAAAUUCAUUAUUUGUCAUGAAGGUAUAAAAGUUAAGAGCUUUUAAUAUCCAUAUUUUCAGCAUUCAUAUUUGUUGACACUAGAACCAUUAAAGCUCUGAAGGCAAUUGAAGCAAAUGAACCAUUAUGCUUCUUAUUCUUUGAGGGAAGGAGGCUUUUAUUUGAUAAUAAGUCAUGGGCACAUCCAAUAUUUAUAUUCAUUUAAAAAAUAAAAUUAAGAAUGUAAGGAAAAUGAUAAGACAUGCAUAUGUUCUUGAAGUUUUAAACCAAAUCUCACACAUGUAUGUAAUUUCUGCUAAAACACAGAUUUAUGAACAAUACUUAAAACUUUAAAAGAAAUGUGAAACCAUUUUUAAAAGUUUCCUUCUGAUCAAAGAUUAAUAUAGAUGUUCUAAUAAAAAAGUACACAGUGUCACUUUGUCCUUAAGACAUAAACUGAACAAAAUUGGCAGAAAUUUAAAAAUAAAAAGUCACAUGACCAGAAAAAUAGGCAGUAUUUCUUUAAAAUGACACAAUAUCUCAUGAAGAACAAAGCAAACUUAGCUGAAAAAUAAGCAGUGCUUUUUUGAGUAUAUUCAAAAAGAAAAGAAUAGAACAUCCAAAGAGAAACAAAUGGAUGGUUAUGGCCUACAGAGGGAACCCAAGAUUUGAAGAUGUCAACUAUUAAGAUUCUUGAAGCAAAAUUCUUAACACUCACCAGUGUAAAUGACCUCGUAUCAUACAUAGGA